This 1306-nucleotide ribosomal RNA is filed under the name uncultured Hydrogenophilales bacterium. RNAcentral describes it as "bacterial SSU rRNA". It matches the Rfam family "Bacterial small subunit ribosomal RNA", at positions 103 to 1409 of the family's 1533-position model. The record is from RNAcentral. Lineage: Bacteria; Pseudomonadati; Pseudomonadota; Hydrogenophilia; Hydrogenophilales.
CGGGUGAGUAAUGCGUCGGAACGUACCGAGUAAUGGGGGAUAACGCAGCGAAAGUUGUGCUAAUACCGCAUACGCCCUGAGGGGGAAAGCGGGGGAUCGUAAGACCUCGCGUUAUUCGAGCGGCCGACGUCUGAUUAGCUAGUUGGUGGGGUAAUGGCUCACCAAGGCGACGAUCAGUAGCGGGUCUGAGAGGAUGAUCCGCCACACUGGGACUGAGACACGGCCCAGACUCCUACGGGAGGCAGCAGUGGGGAAUUUUGGACAAUGGGGGCAACCCUGAUCCAGCCAUUCCGCGUGAGUGAAGAAGGCCUUCGGGUUGUAAAGCUCUUUCAGCUGGAGUGAAACGGUACGCUCUAACAUAGCGUGCUAAUGACGGUACCAGCAGAAGAAGCACCGGCUAACUACGUGCCAGCAGCCGCGGUAAUACGUAGGGUGCGAGCGUUAAUCGGAAUUACUGGGCGUAAAGCGUGCGCAGGCGGAUUGUUAAGCAAGACGUGAAAUCCCCGGGCUUAACCUGGGAAUGGCGUUUUGAACUGGCAGUCUAGAGUGUGUCAGAGGGGGGUAGAAUUCCACGUGUAGCAGUGAAAUGCGUAGAGAUGUGGAGGAAUACCGAUGGCGAAGGCAGCCCCCUGGGAUAACACUGACGCUCAUGUACGAAAGCGUGGGUAGCAAACAGGAUUAGAUACCCUGGUAGUCCACGCCCUAAACGAUGUCAACUGGUUGUUGGGGGAGUGAAAUCCCUUAGUAACGAAGCUAACGCGUGAAGUUGACCGCCUGGGGAGUACGGUCGCAAGAUUAAAACUCAAAGGAAUUGACGGGGACCCGCACAAGCGGUGGAUGAUGUGGAUUAAUUCGAUGCAACGCGAAAAACCUUACCUACCCUUGACAUGUCCAGAACCCUGAAGAGAUUUGGGGGUGCCCGAAAGGGAAUUGGAACACAGGUGCUGCAUGGCUGUCGUCAGCUCGUGUCGUGAGAUGUUGGGUUAAGUCCCGCAACGAGCGCAACCCUUAUCAUUAGUUGCUACGCAAGGGCACUCUAAUGAGACUGCCGGUGACAAACCGGAGGAAGGUGGGGAUGACGUCAAGUCCUCAUGGCCCUUAUGGGUAGGGCUUCACACGUCAUACAAUGGUCGGUACAGAGGGUUGCCAAGCCGCGAGGUGGAGCCAAUCCCAGAAAGCCGAUCGUAGUCCGGAUUGUUCUCUGCAACUCGAGAGCAUGAAGUCGGAAUCGCUAGUAAUCGCGGAUCAGCAUGUCGCGGUGAAUACGUUCCCGGGUCUUGUACACACCGCCCGUCACACCAUGGGA